GUUCAAUGUAUAUAAAGGCAAGCAAUAGGGGAGGCUAGACAAUGCAAAGCAGGGAUAAGACUUUGCAAAUCGAAUCUCUCCAGAAUUCACAAGUUUGGGAUGUUUCAUGAGAUAGGUCAAUAAAGGAAGAAAAUUGAGUAGAAAAAUAUAAAUUAUAGAGAAAGCCUGCCACCAUAUGGAGAUAAUGUCAAGGAAUGCAAUGACUUCCAAAGCGAAAGUGUUCAGAACUGCCUAUACACACACAAGAAUAACUCCUUGAAGCAAAAUAGCCUCCCCCCUUGUUUGUUCCAGUGGAAAGAAGAAUUAUA
Molecule: unclassified non-coding RNA, 308 nt
Filed under: Hevea brasiliensis (rubber tree)
Lineage: Eukaryota; Viridiplantae; Streptophyta; Magnoliopsida; Malpighiales; Euphorbiaceae
Source: RNAcentral